AUGUGACUACUGCCCUGAUAUUUAUUGUUAACUCGCAGGUUCAUGUUUGGGCCAGAGAGAACCUCUGUUUGCACAAAAAACGUAAGAAACGUAUAGCUACAAGGUGAUUUUAAACAAGGAAAACAAUCAAAUGGACACCUUAUGAUUCUGCUUCAUGCUUAUUGUCUGCUAACUUGCAUCCAUCAGACAAUGUCCUCCCAUAACCAGCGAGCAUAAAAUUGCCUCAACAUAUGGUAAAUGGAACUCUGGAGAUAUAGCAAAUUCCCAUUCUAAUCCAAUCAAAACAUGAUUACAACAAAAGCGCACUCCAACAAUGCACACUUGUCCUUCAGUUUCCUUUUGAGCCCAUAUUCACUGUGUGAGCUGUGAGGAGAGAAUAGGAAUGUGUGAUUAUACUGUAUAGAGCUGGUGAGGGGAGUGUGUCAAAGCGUGCAUGCCACACAAUGUGCCUGGAGAGAUUGAUGUUUUUGUCAUCCACCUGCUUCAAAGCUGUAAAAAGCCGGCUGAUGCAAAUAGAGAAACCUAGCCAGGCAGGCUCACAAACAAAAGAGGGGGAACCUCACUGCUCCUCUUUGCACAAUUUUUUUUUUUUUGGAGGAAUAUCUGAGGUUUCUGUUGUGACGCACACUGGGCUCAAAUGAAUCUAAAGUCUUGUGUCUGGGAGUCGGAUUGCUGAUUGCUGCUGCUACUUCACAUUACAAGCUGUCCACCUGUGAACCACUUGAAACCAUUUAUUGUGAAGCAGCUACAAGAUGUCCAGAGUUACUCACCAGAUGUAGCGGCGGAACACUAAUUUCUGCAUGCGACAGGCGUGGACAGUAAUGGCUGUGUGAUUGGGCUGCGCCGGAUGAUGAUUUUAAUAAACACACACACGCAGAAGGGGCCAAAGGUCAACGGUGUUUGGAUUCAUCAGCCGCACAGGUAGGAUGGAGCUGUGAAUGAUGACACACACUUUUAACAGAUGCACUUUAAUAACCGGUCAACAUGU
Long non-coding RNA from Centropristis striata (black sea bass), 988 nucleotides. RefSeq lists it as uncharacterized. The record is from RefSeq and is a predicted model, not a curated record. The transcript has 3 exons. NCBI's taxonomy places the organism in Eukaryota, Metazoa, Chordata, Actinopteri, Perciformes, Serranidae.